CUCUUGCUUUCUGCCUUUCAUGGAGUCAGCCACAGGUACUGCUUUGAGUAGCAGGGCUGGCAUGAUGGAAAAGUGAACCUGCAUCAGGAUUUUCAGAGUGUAAAAUACGACUCAAAGCGAGUUGCAAUCUUGGUGUGGAUGGCUCUGUAAAGCUCUCCCUCCAUGGAGCUGCUUCCUUACCCGACGAAGCAUCUGGCGCCCUGACGUUGGACUUUCCCUGUUGAUUUUCAGGGAGAUGAGAUUCACUUCGGGGAUCACUUCGGACGAGCCUUAAAGACUUUUUCCUGCUGGUAACAUUUAAAGUUGUGAUUCCUGAUCCAGUUGCAACUGAAUUGCAGUUCAGUUACAAUCGACAUCUUCGCUAUGGAUAAAGAUUCAUUUGUGAAAAAGAGCUCAAAGGCCAGUUUUGAAUUAAAUCCAGCACUGUUGGACCCAUGAGGAUUUCUACGCUAACUAGCGGAAACUUGCCUUGAAGUAGCAAGAAGCUGGAUUAAAUGCUGAAUUAAAGGUGGUUUGGGGGCUGAUUUCCCAGGUUAGGUGUUUCUAGCUCCCAGGUUAGGUGUUUGCAGUGCAAAUGUCUGCUGGGAGUCCAAUAUUAUAUAAGCAGGGGCAUUUACAGCCAUCAAACUGCAUCUUAGUCAUGUAGGGUGUUGCUUUCUGAAACAGUGUUUCCUGCCAAGAGGGUUUGUUUUCCUCUGCGAUAAGAAACAAUGAUUACCUUGAUUUGUACUUGAGCAUUUUGCAGCAGAGCUGGGAUCUGACGCAGUGCUAAAUCCAUUGUUUUGGCUAACCAAAUGCCAGCCAGGCCCUCUUGGAAACACGCUGCCAGGACUCAGGCCAAGCACGGGCUGUUGGGGUUUGUUUCCAGAAGUGUCUGGUAGGUUUGUUUUAAAAAUACCUCUCUGUAUUUGGAGAGACGCUGCAUUAAAAUCAAGUGGAAGGGAAGGCAGAGAGGGAGGGAUGCAGGGAGCUGUGUGUGCGCCGUUUUGCACCCUUGGAAGAUUUCAAGAACUUCACAGAACGGCAGAUGGCAAAGAGACAGGCCCAGCUGGAAUCUAGUCAGGUCCAUAACACUGCAGCCACUUGCUGAAAGCCCCCACAGCACCAACACAGAUACAAAACAGCAUUUAUUUUAAGUCUUGAGAAGCGUCUGCUCUUGUCAAAUGUAUGCCCAGUGGGUGAAGACUUGGUUUGGAAGUAGCCAUAGUGCCAGUCCCAAGACUUAAAAAA
Long non-coding RNA from Gavialis gangeticus (Gharial), 1230 nucleotides. RefSeq lists it as uncharacterized. The record is from RefSeq and is a predicted model, not a curated record. The transcript is spliced from 2 exons. Lineage: Eukaryota; Metazoa; Chordata; Crocodylia; Gavialidae.